Molecule: long non-coding RNA, 266 nt
Organism: Sinocyclocheilus grahami
Lineage: Eukaryota; Metazoa; Chordata; Actinopteri; Cypriniformes; Cyprinidae
Exons: 3
Source: RefSeq, a predicted model, not a curated record
GCUUGUUUGUAUGUGUGUGUGUGUGUGUGUGUGUGUGAGAGCGUGUGUUUGGGAUGAGCGUUUGCGAGUGAACGCUUGUUUGUGGGUCUGUGUGUGUUAAAAUCAACCAGCAUUUUUUUUUUUUUUUUUUUUUGACUGCUUUAAUUGUAUUUUCUUUAAUUUUGGUAUUCUGUUUUGUGGUUUUGAGAAUUGUGGGUAGCUACUCUUAUCUUUGAUUGUCAAUUCCCUUAUAACCAACAAGGGCUAUAAUCUGCUGGGAGGGUUUA